ACUAUCCGUACCCAUGCUGGUGGCCCAUAGAUGAACAUUGUUUCAAUGCUUCAGAUUGUGAGCCUGAAAAGGGAAUCUGGUGAAAAUCCAGAACUGACGCGCAGCGGUAAUAGAGAACGAAUACCUUGGGUAAGACCCGAACACUGUUUAGCUUGCUAAGUGGGAAGUGAGGUACUAGGCGCUUAUAGUUUAUAGGCAUGCUCUUAAGUCCGAAUAUCUGCCAGUAAAUAAAAACACCUA
RNAcentral lists this non-coding RNA (240 nucleotides) under Vibrio tapetis subsp. tapetis. The record is from RNAcentral. Lineage: Bacteria; Pseudomonadati; Pseudomonadota; Gammaproteobacteria; Vibrionales; Vibrionaceae.